Molecule: ribosomal RNA, 370 nt
Filed under: uncultured bacterium
Lineage: Bacteria
Description: bacterial SSU rRNA
Rfam family: Bacterial small subunit ribosomal RNA
Source: RNAcentral
AACGAACGCUGGCGGCAGGCCUAACACAUGCAAGUCGAACGCUCGUAGCAAUACGGGAGUGGCAGACGGGUGAGUAACACGUGGGAACCUUCCCUAUGGUUCGGAAUAGCUCAGGGAAACUUGGGGUAAUACCGGAUAAGCCCUUCGGGGAAAGAUUUAUCGCCAUUGGAUGGGCCCGCGUCGGAUUAGCUAGUUGGUGAGGUAACGGCUCACCAAGGCAACGAUCCGUAGCUGGUCUGAGAGGANGAUCAUCCACACUGGGACUGAGACACGGCCCAGACUCCUACGGGAGGCAGCAGUGGGGAAUAUUGGACAAUGGGCGCAAGCCUGAUCCAGCCAUGCCGCGUGAGUGACGAAGGUCUUCGGAUUG